Molecule: ribosomal RNA, 331 nt
Filed under: uncultured eukaryote
Lineage: Eukaryota
Description: partial 18S ribosomal RNA
Rfam family: Eukaryotic small subunit ribosomal RNA
Source: RNAcentral
CCCUUAGAUGUUCUGGGCCGCACGCGCGCUACACUGUUUGAUUCAGCGAGUCUUAACCUUGACCGAAAGGUUUGGGUAAUCUUCUAAAGUCAAACGUGAUGGGGAUCGAUCAUUGCAAUUAUUGAUCGUGAACGAGGAAUUCCUAGUAAAUGCAAGUCAUCAGCUUGCGUUGAUUACGUCCCUGCCCUUUGUACACACCGCCCGUCGCUACUACCGAUUGAAUGGUUUAGUGAGGGCCUCGGAUUGGUCUCGGCCCGCUCUUUACCGGGCGGCGCCGUUGGUCGAGAAGACGCUCGAACUUGAUCGUUUAGAGGAAGUAAAAGUCGUAACA